This 497-nucleotide ribosomal RNA is filed under the name uncultured bacterium. Its description in RNAcentral is "partial 16S ribosomal RNA". It matches the Rfam family "Bacterial small subunit ribosomal RNA", at positions 28 to 507 of the family's 1533-position model. The record is from RNAcentral.
GACGAACGCUGGCGGCGUGCCUAAUACAUGCCAGUUGAGCGCUGAAGGUUGGUACUUGUACCGACUGGAUGAGCAGCGAACGGGUGAGUAACGCGUGGGGAAUCUGCCUUUGAGCGGGGGACAACAUUUGGAAACGAAUGCUAAUACCGCAUAAAGACUUUAAACACAAGUUUUAAGUUUGAAAGAUGCAAUUGCAUCACUCAAAGAUGAUCCCGCGUUGUAUUAGCUAGUUGGUGAGGUAAAGGCCCACCAAGGCGAUGAUACAUAGCCGACCUGAGAGGGUGAUCGGCCACAUUGGGACUGAGACACGGCCCAAACUCCUACGGGAGGCAGCAGUAGGGAAUCUUCGGCAAUGGACGAAAGUCUGACCGAGCAACGCCGCGUGAGUGAAGAAGGGUUUCGGAUCGUAAAACUCUGUUGGUAGAGAAGAACGUUGGUGAGAGUGGAAAGCUCAUCAAGUGACGGUAACUACCCAGAAAGGGACGGCUAACUACGUG